Molecule: ribosomal RNA, 301 nt
Filed under: uncultured bacterium
Lineage: Bacteria
Description: partial 16S ribosomal RNA
Rfam family: Bacterial small subunit ribosomal RNA
Source: RNAcentral
CAGUAGCCGCGGGAAUACGGAGGAUCCAAGCGUUAUCCGGAAUCAUUGGGUUUAAAGGGUCCGUAGGCGGUCUUGUAAGUCAGUGGUGAAAGCCCAUCGCUCAACGGUGGAACGGACAUUGAUACUGCAGGACUUGAAUUAUUGGGAAGUAACUAGAAUAUGUAGUGUAGCGGUGAAAUGCUUAGAGAUUACAUGGAAUACCAAUUGCGAAGGCAGGUUACUACCAAUUGAUUGACGCUGAUGGACGAAAGCGUGGGUAGCGAACAGGAUUAGAUACCCCGGUAGUCCCUGUCUCUUAUAC